CUACGGGAGGCUGCAGUGAGGAAUCUUCCACAAUGGGCGAGAGCCUGAUGGAGCCAUACCGCGUGUAGGAUGACACCUUUCGGGGCGUAAACUACUUUUCUGAAGGAAGCAGUUCUGACGGUACUUCAGGAAUAAGCGACGGCUAACUACGUGCCAGCAGCCGCGGUAAUACGUAGGUCGCAAGCGUUAUCCGAAAUUACUGGGCGUAAAGCGUUCGAAGGCUGAUAAGUAAGUCUGAUGUUAAAUACCCACGGCUCAACCGGGGUGCUGUACUGGAAACUACUUGACUAGAGAAAUGCAGAGGUAACUGGAAUUUCCAUUGUAGGGGUUAAAUCCGUAGAUAAUGGAAGGAACACCAAAAGCGAAGGCAGGUUACUGGGCAUUUUCUGACGCUGCGCGAACGAAAGCGUGGGGAGCGAAAGGGAUUAGAUACCCGCGUAGUC
Molecule: ribosomal RNA, 443 nt
Filed under: uncultured bacterium
Lineage: Bacteria
Description: partial 16S ribosomal RNA
Rfam family: Bacterial small subunit ribosomal RNA
Source: RNAcentral